UUUCUGAUAAUGUUGUGACUUUAUUAGUUGUGGGUCAUUGCUAGACCUCGUAAUCUAUAUCCAUACCCGCGAGCUACCCACAAAUUUGCAGAUAUGUGUAUUAGUUUUUUUUACCAAAAAAAUUAUGGGUAAAACGGAUGAGUACUCGUUAAGUGGUGGAUAUUUUGAGCAACCCGCGGGUACCUAUGGAUACCCGCAUAUAUAUAUUUUUAAAUUAAAAAGAUAUAAUCUUUGUAAUAUUGACUCUAUAAUGAUGAAUUUUAUUAAUUUUGUAUCAUAAAAAUUCGGAAUGAUAAAAUACUUUUAUAUUAUGUAAUGUAUGUGUUUUUAAGAUUUUAUAUUAUUUAUUAUAUGUUAUGAUAUUUUAAUAUUUUUUAAAAUUUUAUAUAUGUGUUUUGCAUUUGAAAUGUAUAGUAGUAGAAAAGAAGAAAAAAUUUUACGGGUAACCCGCAUGCCUACCCGCCCAUAUAUGGACUGGUAUAGAUGAAA
Molecule: long non-coding RNA, 489 nt
Filed under: Ananas comosus (pineapple)
Lineage: Eukaryota; Viridiplantae; Streptophyta; Magnoliopsida; Poales; Bromeliaceae
Description: long non-coding RNA (ACOM_LNC007565)
Source: RNAcentral